Molecule: long non-coding RNA, 1042 nt
Organism: Cercocebus atys (sooty mangabey)
Lineage: Eukaryota; Metazoa; Chordata; Mammalia; Primates; Cercopithecidae
Exons: 5
Source: RefSeq, a predicted model, not a curated record
AGACGCCUACCCCUCCCAAGCCAGAGGGAUCAGAGGAAGGGAGGAAAACAAUAGCAAAAACCAGGGCCCCUCGGACUUGCCGCUGAACGGGGAUUUUCGUCGGAUGUUGAGUUUACCUGGAAUGCCCCGGUGUUAUUUUGGGAAGGCAGACAUCCCACGGAAACAAUGAAGUGGAAAAGAAAACAGCUAAAGCAAAUUCUAGAGCCCAGUUUUUGCCAAACCAGCCCCACGUGGCCUGGGUAGUCUCUGGAAGCCCAAGUCAGGCUGAUGAAGAGCGGCUGAGGCCGUGGGUGUCUGGUUUACCAGGAGGGCACAUGGAGGAUGCAGGAAAAGGAAGAGCCAUGUUCAAGUCCCCACAUCAGUGAUGAGGCCGAAAGACCCCGCGCCUCGCCACGUGGGAAUAGCUUACAGUGAGCGGUGAUGCCGCCUGGCCUGAGCUAAGUGCUGGACUCCACCAUUCAUUAGCUGAGUGACUUAGUUGAGGAGAGAAUGAGCCACAUCUUUCCUGAAACGUCCAGUGGAGCUCGCUGGAGAACCUGCAAGAGCCGGCAAACCCAGGAGCUUCACCGUCCAUUCCUGGAAGCAGACUUUGUGUCUUCGUCCACCAAGGCCCUGGCUCUCAACACUCACGGUGGUGGCAAGAACAUGGCACCUUGACCAUACACAGUCCUUCUAUUUUUCAGAAGCAGGGAAGCGCUCCUCUCCCGUCUGAGGGCUGUCGUUCCAGCCAAGAGAUCAGCACAAUGGACUCUGGGAUGGACAUUGUUCUCCAACAGGCCUGGCCCUGGCCCAGCUGGGGCUCAUCAUCUCUCUACUACCUCCUUCCACGCUGGACCAAUGGAAGGGCAUGUGACAUGGUGUGGCAGGGACUCAGGGGUCCAGAAGUUCCCAGAUAUGUGCAGCUGUGGAAUCUGCCACCAUGCCCCCCACACAACCAGCCUCUGCAACCAGACGGAGAGAUGAGAGGUGUUCCAAUAACAUGUAAAACGUGGAAGUCGAUAGCAGCCAUCUUCUGCCAUCAUAAUUGGGAAGAGAGAAAGCC